AAGUCGUAACAAGGUUUCCGUAGGUGAACCUGCGGAAGGAUCAUUAUAAAUUGGUAUUCACUACCGACUUACUAAUGUGCACCUGAUUGCUAGUUGCCGUGUGGUUGCAAGACCCGCGGCGGCUUACUACUUUGAUUACUUUGUGUAAACACUAGUGUCUUGAAAUCCGUCACUGGCCUAGCGCCUGCUGACACUAAGGGUAAAUGAAAACUUUUAGCAACGGAUCUCUAGGCUCUC
Molecule: unclassified non-coding RNA, 237 nt
Filed under: fungal sp.
Lineage: Eukaryota; Fungi
Description: partial internal transcribed spacer region
Rfam family: Eukaryotic small subunit ribosomal RNA (bases 1-46)
Source: RNAcentral